GGAGCGGUGUCCGAGCGGUUUAAGGAGACGGUCUUGAAAACCGUUGUACCGUCAGGUACCGAGGGUUCGAAUCCCUCCUGCUCCG
Molecule: transfer RNA, 85 nt
Filed under: Treponema sp.
Lineage: Bacteria; Pseudomonadati; Spirochaetota; Spirochaetia; Treponematales; Treponemataceae
Also listed under: 2 other names
Description: tRNA-Ser
Rfam family: tRNA
About the family: Transfer RNA (tRNA) molecules are approximately 80 nucleotides in length. Their secondary structure includes four short double-helical elements and three loops (D, anti-codon, and T loops).
Source: RNAcentral